GAUGAAGAACGUAGCGAAAUGCGAUACGUAAUGUGAAUUGCAGAAUUCAGUGAAUCAUCGAGUCUUUGAACGCACAUUGCGCCCUCUGGUAUUCCGGAGGGCAUGCCUGUCCGAGCGUCAUUGCUGCCCUCAAGCACGGCUUGUGUGUUGGGCCCCGCCCCCCGAUCCCGGGGGGCGGGCCCGAAAGGCAGCGGCGGCACCGCGUCCGGUCCUCGAGCGUAUGGGGCUUUGUCACCCGCUCUGUAGGCCCGGCCGGCGCCUGCCGAUCAACCAAACUUUUUUCCAGGUUGACCUCGGAUCAGGUAGGGAUACCCGCUGAACUUAAGCAUAUCAAUAAGCGGGAGGA
RNAcentral lists this unclassified non-coding RNA (346 nucleotides) under soil metagenome. RNAcentral's name for it is "partial contains 5.8S ribosomal RNA, internal transcribed spacer 2, and large subunit ribosomal RNA". The stretch from base 1 to 120 matches the Rfam family "5.8S ribosomal RNA", at positions 35 to 154 of the family's 154-position model. The record is from RNAcentral.